CAUAAUUAGACCUUUACUUAUUUAUUUUUAUUCCAAAGUGUUACCUUGAAAGUUAGUAUUGGCUUUAUUUUCCAAUACUUAUUGUGUGUAUGUUUUGCAUUUAUUUAUUUGCAGAUGUGGUUUUGGUCUUCUAAUGUAUGGAUUUGGAUCAAAGAAAUCAUUGAUUGAAGAUUUUGCUUCAACCACUUUGGUAGAGCAUUCUGUUGUUGUAAUUAAUGGUUACCUUCAAUCAAUCAAUAUAAAACAGGAUUGCUUGUACUCCAUCUCUCAAGAGCAGUUCCUCUUAAGCAGCCAGGUAACGCUAAACGCCCACUUGACUGAGUUCAAAGAUCAUGAGCUAGUUAAGAUUUGAAACUAAAGACAAAGCAAGGAGACUUCUAAGUAAUGUGUCAUUUUUGUUGAAACCAGGGGGUUAUUUUUUCGGUAUUACUCUUGAAAAAGUGAUUGCCAAAAACUGUUGUUUCUGGAUUUCUGUAUUUUCCUUUUUUUUUCUUGUGGUUACUGCUGCACCUGUUUCUGGGAGGUAUUGUGCAAACAUUUUAGUGUGCUUUAGUUAUUGUAAGAAUAUUUUUAACAUUGUUAAUUUUAA
RNA transcript from Gossypium raimondii (Peruvian cotton), 589 nucleotides. RefSeq lists it as uncharacterized. The record is from RefSeq and is a predicted model, not a curated record. NCBI's taxonomy places the organism in Eukaryota, Viridiplantae, Streptophyta, Magnoliopsida, Malvales, Malvaceae. The transcript has 2 exons.